This 202-nucleotide signal recognition particle RNA is filed under the name Chlorocebus sabaeus (green monkey). RNAcentral describes it as "Metazoan signal recognition particle RNA". It matches the Rfam family "Metazoan signal recognition particle RNA". From Rfam's summary of the family: The signal recognition particle (SRP) is a universally conserved ribonucleoprotein. It is involved in the co-translational targeting of proteins to membranes. Lineage: Eukaryota; Metazoa; Chordata; Mammalia; Primates; Cercopithecidae. The record is from Rfam by way of RNAcentral.
UCCGGGCAUGGUGGCUUAUGCCUGUAAUCCCAGCACUUUGGGAGGCCGAGACGGGUGGAUCACGAGGUCAGGAGAUCGAGACCAUCCUGGCUAACACGGUGAAACCCCAUCUCUACUANNNNNNNNNNUAGUAGAGAUGGGGUUUCACCGUGUUAGCCAGGAUGGUCUCGAUCUCCUGACCUCGUGAUCCACCCGUCUCGGC